Octodon degus (degu) is the source of this 380-nucleotide long non-coding RNA. RefSeq lists it as uncharacterized. NCBI's taxonomy places the organism in Eukaryota, Metazoa, Chordata, Mammalia, Rodentia, Octodontidae. The record is from RefSeq and is a predicted model, not a curated record. The transcript is spliced from 2 exons.
GCCCCACCUUGGAGCCAGCCAACUAACAACUGAAAUGUGCAGAAACUGAAGUCCAAGGAAGUUGCCCAAGGGCACGUCUAUCAGAUGAACCCACAGCUAAUGCUUAAAGCAGGCUGCUUCCCUUCCAGUGCAACAGUGGCUUCCCAGAGGGGUAUAGGGACUGGUAGCAGUCACACAGCAAGUCACCACCUGCACACAGCUCCGCAUUCCUGGCUUUCAGGCUCCUGCUCUUGCUCUUGCAUUCCAUAAUCCAGAUAUCUGUGUCUUCCAGGUGCAACACGGGCAUGUUCUUCAUGGGAGAGGAAGACAAAAGAAAUUUCUCCUGCAGUAAAAUACUCAUGAGAUUCCUGAGAGAGAUUAAUAAAAAUCUUAUCAAAGAA